This 308-nucleotide ribosomal RNA is filed under the name uncultured bacterium. RNAcentral's name for it is "bacterial SSU rRNA". It matches the Rfam family "Bacterial small subunit ribosomal RNA", at positions 30 to 334 of the family's 1533-position model. The record is from RNAcentral.
AUUGAACGCUGGCGGCAGGCUUAACACAUGCAAGUCGAGCGGUAACAGGGGUAGCUUGCUACCCGCUGACGAGCGGCGGACGGGUGAGUAACGCGUAGGAAUCUGCCGAGUAGUGGGGGAUAGCCCGGAGAAAUCCGGAUUAAUACCGCAUACGCCCUUCGGGGGAAAGUGGGGGAACUUCGGUCCUCACGCUAUUCGAUGAGCCUGCGUGAGAUUAGCUAGUUGGUGGGGUAAAGGCCCACCAAGGCGACGAUCUCUAGCUGGUCUGAGAGGAUGAUCAGCCACACUGGGACUGAGACACGGCCCAG